This 4081-nucleotide long non-coding RNA is filed under the name Lactuca sativa (garden lettuce). RNAcentral's name for it is "long non-coding RNA (LSAT_LNC007245)". The record is from RNAcentral. Lineage: Eukaryota; Viridiplantae; Streptophyta; Magnoliopsida; Asterales; Asteraceae.
UACACUUGCAUAUAACGUAUUCAUUUAAUGUGUCAAACGACAUCUACACAAAAACCCUAAUCGGAUGCUCCUAUUUUCUCCCACACCACUAUCGCACAAGCAGUGAAGCAACAUCCAUUCUCCAACCUCACAACACCCACCGUCUCCUCCAUCUCUCUACCCUCGCAAUAAUUUUCUAGCGACCAACCCCCACUACGAUCCAUCUCUACCUCUCUUCUCUAUCCUAACUUACUAUCCAUACCUGACACCACUCAUCGUCAUAGAUAACGUAAUCACCGAUGCCUCCAUCUCCGCCAUCAUCCAGUGGCAAAGCGUCAACGGCCAUCAUGCUUGGAAUCUAGCAUCAGUGACCUAACUCAUUCAACCGACCCUAAAAAGGCCCUUUUGUUCUAUGCUAAUCUCACUAAGGUAAAUUUCAAGAAUAUAUGCUUUUUUUGUUUGAUUAUUCCUUAUCAAUGUGUAUAACUAUUUCUUGCAUUUUGCAUUCACGUCACAUCCUUGCCCAACUCAAUGGAGUCUUGAUGCACCAUUGUUCUUCCUACGCUACCACAGCCACACUCCUCUUCUCUACACAAACAGACACACAUUGUUGAUAGACCCACCUCCAUUUCUUCUGACUGAUUAUUCUUUGGUAUUAUAUUCUAUUCUCUCUAUGUGUGUGUGUUAUGUUUUAUUAGUUUUAGAUCAUAGAUCAACAUUUUGGGUUUUUGCUCUUAACUAGGUUUAUGCAGGUCAAAUGAGUAAAAAAGAUUACUAAACAUACUGAUUGCAUAAGAAAUUGGGUAUGUCUAUAUGUUUGACAAAUUGGUUACCUGAAUUAGAGUUUUUUUUUUCAAUACUAUGCUCUUAAAUAGAUUGUUCUACUUAAAAUGUUAGGUUAUCAGUUAAUUAUAGUGAAGGCUGAAAAUUACAUGAGGUAAUUUCUAAAUCAGGUAAUUUAUUUGAGGUUUUUUUUCCAAUACCAUGCUCUUAAAUAUAUUAUUCUACUUAAAAUUUUAGGUUACCAACUAAUUAUAGUGAAGGCUGAAAAUUACAUGAGUUGAUUUCCAAAUCAGGUAAUUUCCAACAGCAUGCUCUUAAAAUAGAUUUAUGUACAUAACUUUCUAGGCUAAAUGCAAAAACAGUAACAUUGUCACCAUUUUAUUUUAUAUCAAAUGUAGAUGUAGGUGAUGGAAUCAAUUUGGAGUUCUGGAGAGGUGUAUCAAGCCUUGAAAAGCUUGAAUCUUAAGAUAAAUGAAGUUAGUCUUCACUGUUCAGGUUAAUUUAUAUGUAUUUACUUGCUAAUAUUACUUGACUUACAUAUUGUAUUUUUUAUUUUAAUUUUGACCGGUUUUUUCAAUUCUGUGCAUAUAUCUUUGUGCCUUAUAUCUUGCAUUUGUUUUCUUAGUUAUUUUCUUUAUAAGUUGUCAGCAUUUAUGGUGCAUCAAUAUUGCAAAACAUUUUCUCAAUUGGGUAUAACCAAUUUUAUAUACAUUUUCUAAUUAGGGUUUAUUAAAAAAAUCAUCUUCUAACAUGGUCUAAACUGUAUUUUCACUUUUCUUCCUCAAAGACCGGUGGAUAUAGCCAAGACAUGAUCUCUAUAGUGAGCUUUUCUUUAUCAAAGAUCAAUAAAGGUAUGUGAAUUUGAUGGUCAUGAAAGUAAAUUGUGAAUCUUGAGUUUGAGUAUUAAUGAAAUGCAUUUAUUUUUGUUUUUUCAUGCACAUAUAUGCUUGGAUAGGUGUAUUAGGCCCCAUAUGAUCCUAAAAAGCUUUAAGCUUAAGAGAAAUCAAGUUAGCCUUGACUGUUCACAUGAAAAUAUGCAAAUUCUGCCACAAAUGUUGAAUAACUACAAAGGUGAGUAAUGAGGGCAGAUCGUCUUUGAGUGAAAAAGCGCAUGGAAAUACCACAUUGAGGGACAAGGAUUCAACCUAACCUGGUUAGGAACAACAUACAUUUUGGAGACUCAUAUGUACAAGUAUAAUUAGCUUGUGAUACAAUAAGUAAAUUCAUGCUAAUCUUCCUACAAUUAAGUGAUUUUAAAACCAUUAUUUUUGUUGUGGGGGUUAUUUUUUUCGGUUUGACGUUACGUAUGAUAUAACCAAAGUGAGUACAGUAAGAUUCUAGAAGGUAGCUUCCCUUUGUAACAAUAUACAUUUUUGCAGUCAAUUCAUAAGUUGACCUUUUUCUUUUGUUCUUUUGAUUUUUUACUUCAUGAGCAGGAUUUGUCAUGGUAAUUAAGUGUACACAUAAUUAUAUGCAUCUUGCCAUUCAAAGUCGUUGAUCCCAGGUUUAACUCUAUGGAUCCCAAUGGUUGCAAUUUCCUUACUCCAGGUAUGCCCAGUUUUUUUUUUUAAAAAAAAACUUUCUUUUUUAGGCAUUUGGUUUUCAAAAAUGAAAUCUCUAAGGGUAUUUUUGGAAAUUUCUUUGUUUCCUUUUGGUUUGCUAUGCGAAAUACAUAAAAAAAUAACAAGUUAAAACCAUCUUUUUUGUAUUUAUUAAUUAUGUGUAUAUCAAUUAACAAGUUAAAACCAUCUAUUGAUGUUUGUAUUGACCCACCUCCACCAUCCAUGAACCCAAAUUUUUGAUAUGUUUCUAUAUANNNNNNNNNNNNNNNNNNNNNNNNNNNNNNNNNNNNNNNNNNNNNNNNNNNNNNUAUAUAUAUAUAUAUAUUGAAUUUCUAUUGAUGUUUGUAUUGACCCACCUCCACCAUCCAUGAAACUCAAAUUUUUGAUAUUUUUCCUCUGUCUAAUGUCUUGAAGUCAACAAUCUCUUAAAUUUCUUGAAGCUGCUUACAUGUUGUGUGAAUUGGAUGGUUUAAACUAACGCAUGUGGCUUACUUACACGAGGUUAGAUAAUAAGAUUUCUUUUUGGGUGAAAAUACAAUCUUGUAACAUUAAAAAUGAAAAUAAGAUUCCAUAUAUAGUAUGGUUUCUUAUUCUGGUUUAAGUCUAAAAAUCACAUAUGGAUUUGUGGAGCAUAUUAGGAUUUAGCUUCAUAAGAAAGUAACUUUUUAUAUGAAUUAAACGAAACCUCUUUAAUAAUGUUAAUAUCAAUUCAUAACAUAUGUAAUCAUAAUUUCACCUUUCAUGAUUUGAUUUCUUGAAACAACUAUAAUUGCAAUCAAAAGUUCACAAAUGCCCUAUUGAGUAAGAAGUAUCUCUUUCAUUCAAUAAUGCUAAAGGUAAUAAUAUUCAAACAAUGCUAUUUUUCAAGGAAUAAAAAUAAUUGAUACAUGUAUUUUUGUUGCAACGUCAAACUAAAUAAAAGUUAUGUCUCAUCAAUUAAGUUAAUUAUUUCCACCUGAAUUUCACAUAUUGUUUUAUACUGACAGAACUAAAAUAAUAAAUCCAAUCAAUUUACUGAUCAAGAACCGGUUUUGGUAUACAAAUAUUAAAAAUGUUAAUCUUUAUUGAAAAUUGACAAAUCCAGUAGAUAUCAAUCGAAUAUAAAGUUUAAACUUAAUAAACAUACUACUAUAAAUAUAAAAAAUAAUUUUUUGGUUAAAAAUCCUGUGACAAAAACAUGAACCUUUCUUCCAUGUUUUUCAUCGCAAAAGAUCAAAAAAUUAGAAUAGUGUCUUAAACAAAGUCAAAUUAUUAUUAACUUGCUCUUAUUUUUAAAUAAAUACUAUUACCGCUAUUAUUAUCAUUAUUGUAGACAACCCUCCUCCUCCUCUCGAUAAACAAUUCAAAGAGGCAUAAUCAUUGAUUUUCGAUCAUCCACCGCUAUGGGUUCCACUGAUAAUUUUGUGGCUAUGUUGUGGAAGGUAAUUAGUUUUUAUUUGUUGAAGUGAAACUAUUCAUCAUUUUUAGACAUGAAAGCGUUCUUCAAUUUCAUUGAAAGCAUAUAUGACGAAAUAUAAAACAAUCGGCUGAAGUACACAAUCUGCGGAACAAAUCAAAAGUAAUAGUGAAACCCGACAAACAUUUCAAAAGCAGUGAAGUCUAUAUAUUAAAUGUGGUGUCUAAAAAGUGUUGCACGAUUAAUAAUGCACAAUCAAUCAUGUAUCCAUGUAUAUUUGUAAAAAUCCUAACUUUUCAUUUGUAAUUGUAUUUCUGCUAGCAUUACUCUUAUUAUAAUUAUUUAGAUAUAGUAAACUAUU